Myotis lucifugus (little brown bat) is the source of this 337-nucleotide long non-coding RNA. RefSeq lists it as uncharacterized. The transcript is spliced from 3 exons. The record is from RefSeq and is a predicted model, not a curated record. Lineage: Eukaryota; Metazoa; Chordata; Mammalia; Chiroptera; Vespertilionidae.
GAAUAUAUACAGUACUGCUCUGGACACACCUCUAUUGGAUUUAAUAUACAGUCCUUAUCAACAUCAACUUUCAGCUAUGGAAUCGUCCUGGAGGCCAGAAGUCCGAGACCAAGGUGUCAGCACUGAGGAUAAUCUGUCCAGGCUCUGUCCCAGUCCUGCUGAUCUGCUGACAAUCUUUGCUGUUCCUUGUGCUGAAUAAUAUUCUAUCAUCUGGAUUUCCUACAGUUUAUCCAUUCUCCUACAAAAGGGCAUCUUGGAUCACUUUUAAUCAUCUUUCCAAUCUUCUCUGAUGGAGAAACAAACAAUAAACAAAGCCAGCUGCUGACUUCUGAACUCA